This 468-nucleotide ribosomal RNA is filed under the name uncultured bacterium. RNAcentral's name for it is "partial 16S ribosomal RNA". It matches the Rfam family "Bacterial small subunit ribosomal RNA", at positions 28 to 507 of the family's 1533-position model. The record is from RNAcentral.
GACGAACGCUGGCGGCGUGCUUAACACAUGCAAGUCGAACGGAAAGGCCCUGCUUUUGUGGGGUGCUCGAGUGGCGAACGGGUGAGUAACACGUGAGUAACCUGCCCUUGACUUUGGGAUAACUUCAGGAAACUGGGGCUAAUACCGGAUAGGAGCUCCUGCUGCAUGGUGGGGGUUGGAAAGUUUCGGCGGUUGGGGAUGGACUCGCGGCUCAUCCGCUUGUUGGUUGGGUAGUGGCUUACCAAGGCUUUGACGGGUAGCCGGCCUGAGAGGGUGACCGGCCACAUUGGGACUGAGAUACGGCCCAGACUCCUACGGGAGGCAGCAGUGGGGAAUAGUGCACAAUGGGAGGAAGCCUGAUGCAGCAACGCCGCGUGCGGGAUGACGGCCUUCGGGUUGUAAACCGCUUUCGCCUGUGACGAAGCGUGAGUGACGGUAAUGGGUAAAGAAGCACCGGCUAACUACGUG